UGUUUGUAUUUUUAGUAGAGACAGGGUUUGAGGUCAGGAGUUUGAGACCAACCUGGCUUCGCUAUUUUGAAAGAAUCAACUGAAUUUUAGAAAUUCCAUGGUGGGACUGCUUUUUAAAAGUCAGGCAUCACAGACCUAAAAAGCACCCUGCUUGUCCUGCCUAGUAGGCUCUCAUUUUGGGUUCUAGACCUUCUCUUUUGGAUCUGUGCCCUUGAGCACGUCAUUUAGACAGAAGUCCAGCGACAUGUUGCCAUUAUCAUUGGGAAAGUCCCAGAGUGACUUCCUCCUCUCGCCAGACUUUGUGUAGGGCAGGACCGCCCACUCUUAGGAGGGACAGGAGGCUGCUCCCCCUGCUCCUGAGCCUUUCUCAGGAAAGAGAUGUGGGGGCCUGCCUCCCCGCUUUUCAAUAUCCGAAUUCCUCAGUGUUGACAUGCACACACUUGCAAUCUGUUCUUUUUUCUGGCUUAGCUUCAGGAAAACUUGAAGCCAACAUUGUGCCCAAGAAUGAUAAUCAACUCGGUUUAGGCUACGAGGAGCAUUCAUCCCUUCUGUUUCCUUCCAAUGAACUGUGCUGUUUUAUUCUUAAAUGGUCAGCAUUGUUUUCUUGAAGCCUAUCAGGAGCAGACGGUGAUAGAAACGUUAACUUAAUGAAAACACAAACAAACUUAGACAUCUCAACUAUUUAAUACCUGGAAGUCAAAAUGAUGUAAGGGGAACUUUUUUUUUUUUUUAAAUUCCUAAUGUGAAAGCCAUCCAAAAGCUACACAGAUUACUCAAAACCAAAGAAAGUUUAAGAGUGAAGAAAGAAAACAAGGAUUAGAUUUGUUUUUCCACUGUGUUCAUGAAACUUCUGGGAUACUUGAACACUGAACCAAGAGAGGAAACAUCCUGGCUACCUGAGAGUAAAAUGAUGGGGAACCACUGAGAGGCCAGGCCUUUGGCCACCUCAUCACUUACCUUGUCAUUUACCGAGGAAAGUUGAGUGCCACAUGCAGGCUUGACAGAGCUGCAUUUACUGGCUGAUAUCUGGAGAUAUCAGCAAUAGCUGGCUUUUUUUUUUUUUUUUUUUUUUAAGAGGCGAGUUCGUGUGAAAGUCUCCAUUCCUCACAUGGCUGCUAUGAAUCAUCAUUGGAGCGGGGUCCAUCAUGGAAUGCCAAGAGUCUGAUCCAGGCUGAUGUGUUGCCUUGGCCAAAAAAUCUGGGAAAGCAGCAUUGUGAUAAAGUUGCUUGUUAUUUGACUGCCUUUCUUUUAAAAUAGAAACUUCUGUUACUCACAGGAAGGUGCCAGUGGCUGUUUGCCUCUCCUUUUUUUUCUGUGCAAAAGUGCUUGAUUUUUAAGCAGCCUAUUUUUAUCAUCCUUUCCCACCAUCACUAGGACUUUCAUAUUGCUGUUUUGGGGCUUUGGAUAAAUGUCUUCUGAACUUGAACAUUAGUAAUAUGGGCCAUGAGGCUGAGGGCAAAGGGAUGGGCCACGUAGUUUGCUUGGCUUUUAUUCUAUUUGGAAACUGGAGAAGAAAGUCACAUUUAUGGUAAAAAUUAGAGUAGCUGAAUGUAGAACAACUGCGAGAACCAGAUUUCUCCCUGAAAAUGCAUUCAUUUCAAAUACGUGCAUUAAAUGUCUAUUAAGGGCCAGGUGCUGUGCUACGGGCAUGGGAAAUGAAAAAUAGUAAGACAUGGUCUCUGAGCUCCAGUGAAGGGCUAAUGGGGAUGUGGUAAAGGAGACAGGCUUGUAACAAUAAUGACAAUGAAGUAUUAUGGUUUCUUUGCUGGAAUUAUGUACGGGAUAUGGUUGGGGUGCAAAGGAAAAGGUGAUUAUUUCUCCCUGUGGGGUGUUAGAGAAGUCUUCAUAUUGGAAGUGGCACUUCUGAGUUUCAAGGGGAAUUAGUGUUCACCCCAAGGACAGGGUAUGAAGAGCAUGCCAGGCUGAAGCAGCAACCUGAGAAUCAUUUUUGCUCCAAUGAUUCAUCCCAAUUCAACUUCAGGAAAUGUAUGUAAUGCAACAAUAAUUCUCCCCAGUAAACAACAGCAAGGACAGUGCUUAUACUCUUGACACAUCAUUGGGUGAGAACCAAAGGGAGCUACUUUGGAUUAUAAAAGGCAACAAGACAGGUCUGUGGCACUGUUGACAUUUUGGACUGGAUAACUCAGUUGCGGGAGACUGUCUUGUACAGUGUAAGAUGUUUAACAGCAUCCCUGGCCUCUACCCACUAGAUGCCAGUAGCACCUGACCCCACCAGUUGUGACAACCAAAAACAUCUCCAGAUAUUGCUGAAUAUCCCCCAAAGGGCAAAAUCAUUGCCACUUAGGAAACACUAGGCUAGAAAGACAGGUAGUACAAUUCUGGAGCUGAGAAAUGGUAAGAUUAGCUGGCAGAACUUCACAAAUAUUAGACACUUGCAAGCCCACAUGGAGUUGCUUGGGAGAAUUGUUGACCAUAAUUAUAUAAAUAACUCCCUGGAGUUACUCACCCGGAGACUUGCCACUCACCUGGAGAGCAAUGUGGAGGUGCUCAUGUGAGAAGCGGCUUGAUGAUACAUCAACAUCUGUGAUUCUGAACAUCUGAUUUUCCAUUUGGAGCUUUUCAUUGAAACCAUUACUGUUUCCCUCAGUCUAUGGAGUCUUAAUUCAUAGAGCAGGUCUCUCCCAAUUUGCAGCCAAACAGCUUUGCAUUCAUUUCCAUACCAGCUUCUCUGAAAGAUGCCAGUCUUUCUUUGUGAGGUGACCCCAGAGUCUCACCAAAUAAAUUUCACUUUUAAGUUAUACAUCACAAACAUACUCAUCAAACAUGUAUAGAUUCAUGUGAUCAUGAUUUGGUAAGAUACAGAGAGAAGUUCCAUUUUACUAAAUGAAUAUGUUAAGGUCUUUUUGAAGCAUUGAGCUAGUGAUCCUUUUUGAGAGCUAGACCAUUGUGAAGGGCACACAUAUGGGAGCUACAUUGUCCCUGUUAUCCAAAAGCCCAGUCUAGAAUUCUUGGUGAUGUUAAACAAGUUACUUAACUUCUCUGUGUGUCAAUUUCUUCCUUGUUGUAAAGCAGACAGGGAUGAGAUAAUAAAAUGAGAUAAUAUAAAUACACAACUUCUUACAGUGACAUGAGUAUUGAAAGCAGGUCAUCCAAGUGAACCACACAAUACCUGGCCUUCAGUAAGUACGUUACACAUGUUAACUGCAAUUUAUUAUCAUCAAUAUUUUAAAUGCUGUAAUAAGCACAUGGCCAGAUGUUCUCAGAGCACAGAGGUGGGAUGUUUAGUUGAGAAUGGACAAUGGGAGUUAGGCAAGGCUCCAGGUAGCAGGAGAGAUCCAACCUGGAGGAUGAAUUAGAUAAGGGAAUCCAGGCAGGAAAAGGAGAACAAGGAUGGGUUUUCAGCCUUGCUGUUCCCUCUGCUGAAACAACCUGUCUCAGAUAUCUGCAAGACUCACUGCCUCUCUCCAGGAGGAUUUUGCUCAAAUGUAUUCUUUUUAAUUGAGGGCUCCCUUCACAUCCCAUUUAAAAUUGAACUUCUUGUUCUAUCGCACUGUAUCUUCUUUCUCCUUGGCACAUGUCACUAUCUGACAUUCUUCUUAUUGAUUUCGUAUAUUGUCUGUCUCACCAUGUGAGAAGGGAGGCUCCCUGAGGGCAGAAUUUUUAUCAUGUUUGUUCCCAGCUAUAUAACUACCAUCUAGAACAGUAUCUGGCAUAGAUUUGGAGUUCAGUAUAAUAUUUGUUGAAUAAGUGAGUUCCAGGCAUGUCAGCAGAAGCAUGGAGGUGAAAGAGAGCAUCUGUAUAGGAUCAUGAAAGUAAAUUGAUGUGACUUAAGUGUACAGUGUAUGCUUGGAAGAAAUGAGAGAUUAGACUGGAGAACUAAGCAGGGAUUUGGUUAUAGAUGGCCUUCUUUGAUCUUGGCCUUUAUCCAAGGAACCACCAGAAGGUUUUCAGGGACUGGUCAUAUUUUCAUUCUAGAAAGUUUAUACUAGCAUCAGUAUUAAGGAUGUAAAGAAGAGGGGGCCGGGAACAGUGGCUUAUGCCUGUAAUCUCAGCACUUUGGGAGGCCAAGGUGGGCUGAUCACCUGAGGUAAGGAGUUUGAGACCAGCCUGGCCAACGCGGUGAAAUCCCGUCUCUACUAAAAAUACAAGAAUUAGCUGGGAGUGAUGGCACACGCCUGUAUUCCCAGCUACUCAGAAGGCCAAGACAGGAGAACCACUUGAACCCAGGAGGCAGAGGUUGCAAUUAGUGAAGAUCACAUCACUGCACUCCAGCCUGGGCGACAGAGCGAGAGAGAAUCUGUCUCAAAAAAGAAAGAGACCAGACUAAGGACAGAGACAUCAGUCACUUGACUCUUGUUUGCCAAGGGAAAAAGGAUGAGGGAGGGCCUGAACUGGACAUAGAGGAUGUGGAUGAGGAAACAUCUUUGAAGUAAAGAGGCUGAAGUGGCAACAUGUGAUGAUCAAUUGGAUGAUAAAGGGAAAUGGAGAGUGAGAAAUCCAAGAUUAUAUCGAUAUUUUGAACUUGGGCAUUUAGGCAGCCAAAAAAGCAGCAUUAGUCCAAGGCUUAGUCCACCUAAUGCUCUGGCCUGAGACUGAGUCUGGAGUGAGGCUUGCAGAGAGCAUACCGCUGAAACUUCCAGGAGCCCUGAGGCUGCAGCAGUGCUCUGCACAGCAGCGUGGGCAGCCUCCUGCUGAGACGUUUCCCAUUGCUUUCCUUUUUGCUUAUUUGCCCUGUGGCUCUGUCUUUAUCUUGGUUUGAAUUAAUUUCAGAAAUGGCCACUGAGCCUGAGAUUUGAGUGAAAAUAGUUUAUUAGGGAGAUGAUCCCAGAAAACACUGGUUAGAGGAAUAGGAACAUCACGCGGGGAAGGGAAAGAAGUGAAGAAAGAGUGAGUUACUGAGUAGGUUACUACGUGAGCAACUGGGGCUCAUUUCCACUGGGACCUCUGGGAGAUCAAGUACAAAUUGGUUCUCAAAAUAUGGUUGUAGGGCCAGCAGCAUCAGCAUCACCUGCAGACAUGUUAGAAAUGCAAGUUCAUCUGACCUGCUGAAUCAGAAGGGGUGCAUAAAACUAUCUUAACAAAUGCUCCAGGUGAUUCUUACACCUAUUAAAAUUUGAGGACGACUGUCAUAGUAGAUUCCCUGAGUGUUAGCACCAUGAACAGCAAAAAGUUGGGUGUAUUUUUCUACCAUCUCCCGUUUUGAGAGGGGUCAUUAAACAUAAAAGGAAAGAGUAAAGAAGAAAUGGAUGGUUAUACUGUAACCUUGAGUGAAUUGACUUGGCACAUUUAGCUAAAUAACAAUUCUGUGCCUUGAAAUGCUUUCUAUGAGUACACCCAAAUUUGGCUUACAAGUGAGCUAAUAUUUUCCAAGCACUGUAGGAAAAACUGAAAUUGGUCUUAUUCUGUUUUUUUUUUUUUUUCCCCCUUGAUGGGGGCUCUAUGGCACCAGCUGUCACAUAUUCUUCUCACACUUGAUACCUCUUUUCCUUGUGCUGGACCCAUAGUGAGCUGGGCAUCAUGUAUAAAAAUCACAGAGAAAAGGAAAGAGAAAAAAAAGAACAGGAAGGGGUACAUGCUGAAGUGCAUAUUCAUGAAGCACUAAGUAAGUGGCAAAGACCCACUGGCUCUUGAAUUGAAGUUUUUAGUAACCUUGGCUAGAUUUCUGAACAAUCUCAGAAAACCUCAUAGACUCAGAGGCUGUUGCCUAAAUGUCAACCUAGGGACUGAUGUGGGGAGGAUGGUAUUUGGCAUUUGGCUCUUCCUUUUGUAAUCUACUCAGUUCAUUUCCAUAAAGUGUCUGAAUGGUAGGAUUUGAUAGCUACCCUCUGGCUUCUCACAUGGAGAUUUCACUUGGUUAACAGGGCUAACAGAGCUAGUGAGAAUACAAACACUACAAAUUCGCGGAUGGCACUCUUGGGGGAGAAAACUUAAUACCUAGAAGUAAAUAACACACAUCAAAAAGAGUAUUCCUCUACUAUCACUUAACAAGGCUUCUUAUAUCCCAUAGUGUUGUACCUUUGAGGAUGAAAUUUGGGAUUGGGAGAGGGGAGGAGAUGCCAACUACUGGGGUGGCCUGGAAAAAAUCAUAGAAAACAUUCCUGACACCUUCAUCCUAUCAUCUUAAUGGAAAGUAAGUCUGCCCAUUAUUCUUUGUGUACUCAAAGACAAGUCCUUCCCAGUGACAGUUAACAGUAGCUAAUUAUAGCCAUAACCAUGUCUCAUUCUCUUAAUCUCUUUCUUUUCCCCUUUCAUUUUUUUCUUCUCCCUAGGGGAUCACCUCACACUCAGGGCUUUAAAUAUCAUCUAUGUAUGUUGACAAAUUUGAAAUUUAUAUUUUCAUCUCAGUCAUCUCGUGAGAGACAGAGAGAGAGAGAGAGUGUGUUUGUGUGUGUGUGUGUGUGUGUGUGCGUGCUAUAGACUCGAAUAUCCAACUGGACUGCUAGCAGCUUCUGUAUAUAUCUCCUAAAUCUCAACUUGUCUAGAAGGGAGUUCCUGAUCCUCCUCCAGGUUCCUGAAUGCGCUCUUUCUGCAGAAUUUCCCAUCUCAAAAAAAGGACACCUCCAUACAUGCAGUUGCUCAAGACAGAAACUCGGAAAUUAUCCUUGUCAGUUUCCUUUCCCUUGUCCUCUGCAACUCUUCAAUUACUUAGAGCUGUGUGUUCUAACUCCAAACUGUAUCCUGAAUCUAUCCUUGUUUCUCCAUCCAUCGCUCCUGUAAAAGGCCCAGCAGAGGCCUCUGAACUGCUCUCUUAGCAAACCAUUCAGUAUGUGGCAGCUAUGGUGAACUUUUGAAAACACAGAACUGAUCAUGUCUCUUCCCUGCUUAAUAUUCUUCAAUGAUUUCCUAUUGCUUUUAAGAUCAAAUUCAAAAGACCUGAAACACCCUCUGUGAUAUAGCUCAUAGAACUAUAUGUCAUUGAGCAGACAAUUUUAACCCAUGGGAUUAGGGAAGGUCUUCUUCGGAAAAGUUUCCCAUGCUGAAACAAGAAGCAGAGAAGAAAGAAGAACCAUUUCUGCCUUGGAGCCCAAAUGUCUAAAGAAGCAAGAGGUUACCUUGACAAGGCUCAGUGAAUGACAAUUAACCAAUUAGCUUUGCUACUCCCUCUGUCCUGGGAAGAGAGUAAACCAGUAGCUGAUUGAACAAGGGGAUAAGCAUGCAUUGUUAUAUGCCCACCUUACUGGAAGAAAACAAGCUCCUCUGCUUGUUUUCUUGUAUUUCGUGAGGAGAAAUAAGGUUUCUCUUUUGUGGCCAGGAGAUUGAAUGCCAUCACAUGACUUCUUACCACCUAUGAAGAGGAUGCUAAGAAUUUUUUCUUUAAUCUAUUAAUAUGGUGACUUCCCAUUGCACUUUCUAUCCUCAUUCUUUAUAUCCUUUAUAUUAUUUGAGUAUUAUGAUCCCUUUAUAGAUCAGUGUCUCUAGUAGCUUUUGAGCUUUGGAGGAAGGAUCACGAUUUUUUAUUGUUGUUGCCAUUAGAUGUAGGCAGAAUAUGGCACACUUUAAAUACUCAAUAAUAUUUGUUAAAUUAAUACAUGUGAAAAAAAGAGUGGUCAGGAUUUGAAGGUGAUGAGAUAUAUUUGCAGCAUUCCAGCUUUCAGGAGGCUCCCAUCCUUUGCUGGUAACCGUGUAGCUCUCAUACUGCUCUGAAGCACUAAAGUUAACCCAUGUUCAUUACACUCUAAUUCCCUAAAUAAUCCAUUAGUAUAUAUUUCAAUACCUUUUUUUUCCCCUAAAUAAUCAAAGAGACACAACAGGCAAUCAUGAUUCUAACAUGCAAGGUCGACAUCGAUUUGCAGGACCAUUUGAAGACUACAAAAAUUUCAGGGGCUUGUUGUGUUAUUUAGAAAUAAUGAACCAAAAUGACUAACCUCCUCAUGUGUGCCUGAAUGACAGCAUGCUUUUUAUUUCUUAACCAAGGUUUUCUGUGUGAGAGUGUAGGGAGGCACUUUGAAAUUAGAAUAACUGGUACCCUGCUUUUAUUGAGGAACCAGAAAUAAUGAGAUUAUAGAAACAGCAUGAACUUGACACUGCAUGGUUUAUUUAGCCCACGAAUUUUUUGUGACUUAACAAGACAAAGGGUUUAAACUCCACUGAUGUUUUUUUCUCUCUCUAAUGAUGAAUUUACCAAAACACAAAGAUGUGUGACACAACUGCUCAUGUUUUAAACUAAGAACUAUGUUUUUUCUCUUUGCUAUAUGGUUAGUAGAAUGAGUCAGUUCCCAAGACAUGACCAGUUUCAAAGUGGAGUGAAAAUGGAGAGGUUUUCUUCAUGAUACUUCUCAAAGUCACCAGGAGACUAUUAAAAGAUUUGAGAUGAAGUAACACAGUAGUAAGAUUCCUAAUAGAGGAGGUUUAGUUGUUAAGAGAGUCACAUACAUACUUUGUUUUGUUUUGUUUUGUUUUUUGCUUUUCUGAGAUGGAGUUUUGCUCUCGUUGCCCAGGCUGGAGUGCAGUAGCGUGAUCUCAGCUCAUCACUGCAACCUCCACCUUCUGGUUUCAAGCGAUUCUCCUGCCUCAGCUUCCCAAGUAGCUGGGAUUACAGGCGCUGCCACCACGCCUGGCUAAUUUUUGUAUUUUUAGUAAAGACGGGGUUUCAUCAUAUUGGCCAGGCUGGUCUCGAACUCCUGACCUCGCGAUUCACCUGCCUCGGCCUCCCAAAGUGCUGGGAUUACAGGCAUGAGCCACUGCACCCGGCCACAUACAUAAGUUUUAAAAGUAGAGACCUGUUGCAUGAGAGAAAGAAACAUUAAGUUACUUUAAAAGAGGUUCUUAGACAUAGGCACUUUUUGAAGAUUGUUAUUUUAGUGUAAUUCUUUAGAAAUUAAUGAAACAGGAUUGGGAAGACAUUGUGAUGCUGAGCCGUAUGAGCCUGUCAUCUGUACUUUUGUGAAUAGGAUGAAGGAGGGAGGUCUCAGGUGAGUGUAAAAGAGAUUCAGGAUGCCUGGGCUUAUCUAUGAAGUGGUAGAGACAAUAGCCUUUAGCCUUCUAUUUAUCUGAGGUGCUUUACAUCAGAUUAAGAGGACUUCUUCUAAGAAGAGAAUGAUGUGCCUCCUUUUGUGAGAGGGAAGAGGGUUGAAGAACAUGAGGAGAACAUCAGAGUAUCUGAACACAAACCAACAAAUUCAUACUGAUGUCUGAUGGAAAGGGGUCUGGUAGAGGUUGAAGAACCCAUUUCUACCAGUGAGACCUGAGGAGAAAGUCCUGUUUGGGAAAAAUAUGGGACAAUAUAUGACAGAGAUUUUGAAAAAGAGAUACCUUCCUACUUCUGAAGGACACUGCUUUGGCAUUGUAAAGAUUUGUUUACAGAUCACAAGUAAUUUACGCUUGACAUUGACAUCAGUAUUGACAUGGCCCUGGACCAGUUGUUUAAGUUGGAGGAAGGAGGAGUUCAAGAGAUACCUGAUAUUCUUAGAACUCUGUGACAAAUAAAUGGCCUAUAGUCAAAACUACAUCGCUGGAUCAAGACCAUAUGGACCCACGCCCACACUAAGCAUGUCACCACGAUCACACUCUUCUCCAUAAAAACUUGCAGUAUGUCUCAUGAAAUUUCAGUGCUCAGGAUGAAAACUACCACAACCUAUGCAAUUUAGGAUGGCUAUUGCUAGUAAUUUAGAAUGGCUAUUGCUAGUAAUUUAGGAUGGGUAUUGGGAAAGCCCUAAUCAGUUAAAUGCAACAACAACUGUCCUUCAUUGAUAAAGAAUACUUCACAAUAUUGAAAAGGACCUCAGAAUUCUUCAGCGCUACUUCUCCUUUACCAUCCUCCCUCAACAGGAGGAUAUUUAUGUGAAUAUCAAACUGGAAGGAUAGUUAAUGGGCCACAAUGCUGUCCACACAGUUUCUUUCUUGGAAUUCUUUUUCCUCGAAUACGCAGUAUUCUUGAGAGGGAUAACCUGUCACUCACCAUAUACAAGAAUCAACUCAAGAUAGAUUAAAAACUUAAUCGUAAGACCUGAAACUAUAAAAAUACUAGGAGAAAACCUAGAGAAAAUUCUUCUGGACAUUAGUCUAGGCAAAGAAUUCAGUGACAAAGACCUCAAAAGCAAAUGCCACAAAAUCAAAUAUAGACAAAUGGGACUUAAUUGAACUAAAAAGCUUCUGGACAGCAAAAGAAAUAAUCCUCAGAGUGAAUGGAUAACCUAGAGAAUGGGCAAAGAUAUUUCCAAACUAUGCAUCUGAUAGGGGUCCAUGUCCAGAAUUUACAAAGAACUCAAGCAACUCAACAAAAAAUUCCCAAAUAAUCCCAUUAAAAAGUGGGAAAGAAUAUGAAUAGACACUUUUUAAAAGAAGACAUACAAAUGGCCAACAAGCAUAUGAAAAAAUGCUCAACAUCACUAAUCAUCAGAUAAAUGCAAAUUAAAACCACAAUGGGAUAUCAUCUUACAGCAGUCAGAAUGGUUAUUAUUGAAAAGACAAAGAAUAACAGACGUUGGGGAGGAUGAGGAGAAAAGGGAACACUUACACACUGUUGUUGGCAAUGUAAAUUAGCACAACCUCUAUGGAAACAGUAUGGAGAUUUCUCAAAUAACCAAAAAUAGAAUUACCAUUCUAUCCUGCAAUCUCACUACUAGGUGUAUAUCCAAAUGAAGAGAAAUCAUUAUGUCAAAAAGAUACCUACAGUUGUCAUACGUUUACUACAGCACUAUUCACAAUAGCAAAGAUAUGGAAUCAAUCUAAGUGUCCAUCAGUGGAUGAUUGGAUGUGGUAUAUAUACACAAUAGAAUACUAUUUGGACAUAGAAAAUGAAAUCAUGUCUUUUGCAGAAACAUGGAGGGAACUGGAGGCCAUUAUCUUAAGUAAAACAAUUGAGAAACAGAAAGACAAGUACCACAUAGUCUUACUUAUAAGUGGGAGCUAUAUAAUGUGUACAAAUGGACAUAGAGUGUGGAAUGAUAGACAUUGGAGACUCAGAAGGGUUGGGGGGUGAGUAGAGGGUGGAUGAUAAAAAAUUACUUAAUGGGUUACAAUGUACAUUAUUUGGGUGAUGGAUAUACUAAAAACUAAGACUUCACCACUACACAAUAUAUCCAUGUAAUAAAAUUGCAUUUGUGCUCCUUACACAUAUACAAAUAAUAAUAAAGAUAAUAUAUACAAACUGGUACUUAGGGAAAUGGGUUAUUUAAUGAGGAAGAAAAAAGGCAGGAAGAAAAGAUCAUAUGAUGGAUCACAAACUUCACUACCAUUACAAGUUAUUGUGGGGCUAGCUUUGCUCAAAGCCAUUGCCUGUUUUCAAUGGGCUACAUCCAUCUUUGGCAUUCCCAUCUUAAAAUGCAAUUUUGCCUUCUCUAACCUUAUGAAUUCAGAGCAAAAGUAUUCCUGAAAAGCUUGAAACCAAUAUAUUACAACACAGUGUGGAUUUCACAACAUGAUCAAUUCUGGUUUUGCGCUCGUCAUAAUACAGGAUCUUUCAUCCAAGCAUGACAAGGUGCUUCAUACUCAGUCUAUAUUCUUCUCCACCUUUGGCAAUUAAUGGAGAAAAAGGUAGAAAGAUGGCUGGCUGGCUUGAAAACAGAAGCAGAGCCAGAAAUAGAACCUAGAAGUCUAACUUCUUUUUUUCACACUCUUUCUAAAAUUAUAGGACCAUUUCAUUCCUCCUCCUCCUUGUUCCAUUGCUCUUCCCACUUGUGACUGUUGUUCACACCAGUGCUUCACGGAAAUGACUUCCCUGGAAGUAAAAAAGAUAGAAUUGUGAAAGCAAAGUCCUGAAUUUUCAACCGCCUAUAUUCUUGGAAUGCCAGAGUAGGAUAUUUCUCAUCAUUUAGAGAGAUGUUCAGAAAUCAUUAUAAAAGUGUUAGGAAGUUUGUUCUCACAUAUAAGUCAGAUAUUAUCAGACUUUGUUUCUUUAUGAUAAAACCUGGUGUUAUGACCUGUUAAAUGGAAGUAAAAUUAUAUCCUUGGUGAGUUUUAUGAGGAUUAAAUGAGAUAAUUUAUAUAAAAUACUUAGCUAUCUUUAAUUUUAUGGAUAUAGAUGGAUAUAGAUGAAAGGAAAAAGGGCACCAUGUUACAACCUUCAAUUUAAUACAACUUAAAUAAUUUUAGUUUCAUAAAUACUUCCCGUGUACCUUUUUGUGUGAAGAAGUGCCCUGUCCUCCUUGGAAGAGGAGAUGAUACAUGAGUUACAUCAAGUUUUCAUUCUAUGUGGGUGAUUAUGGGAAUCACCGUGGAUGAAAACAGUAUACCAACAGAGUUAAUGUCAUCCUUGUUGAACUUUUCUUUAACAUAGUGGCCCAGAGAACGUAUUCUAGAACUGAAGUUGCCUUGGAUCUAACUCUGGCUCCGGGCCUUUCUGAGUGUGUGGUCCUGGGCAAGUUUCUUAAUCUCUCUGUGUUGCAAUAUCUUCAUAAUAGUACCUAUUUCAUUGAGUUGUGGUAGGGAUUUAAAAAGUUCAACUCAUGUAAGAUUUGAAGAAUUCAGCUUGGCUUGGUGAUAAGUCCUCAUUUACUCUUAACUCAUAUCCUUAUUUGUUUUAGUUUGUCCAGACAGGAUGUACUGCAGGCUUGGCUGGACAUUCAUCAUGGCCUCAGAGGAGGAAGUGCCUUGGAGGGUCACCGUAUUCUAGAAUCUAGUCUUCCAGUUCAAACUCACUGUCUUGUAAAUGCCCUGAAACUUAUAAAUCUGAAGGCUAAUAUUUUAAUAUUAAUUUGCCACAAUAAAUAUAGUUUAUCUUAGUGGUUAAAAGCAGGAACUCCAGAGAUGUGUUCUAACCUUGCUUUGGCUCAAAUACAAUUAGUUCCCUGUUCUUCAGCGAGUUACUUAUCCCAGCUAUACUUCUGUUUCCUCUCCUGUAAGAUUACAGUACUCUGAUUCUACCACCGUUUAAGGAAUGUGAUAAGGAUUACAUAAUAUAAUUAAUAUAAAACAUUUAGUACAACAGGCAGAGAUUAUUAGGGCAUGACAAUUUCUAUGCUCUCUUUUCUGAGUACUCAGAAAGUAUUUCUCAAUUUCUCUUGCAGUCAGAUGCGACCAUGUGAAUCACUUCCCACCAUUGGAAUGUGAAUACGCAUUUUAUGUCCAUUCAAACUGGCCCAGCAAACCUUCUAUGUGCAAUUCUUUCUCUCUUUAUUAAUCUAUCAAUUGAAAUAAGAGAUCUCUGAGGACCUGGGGGACGAUGGUGUCAAGGAUAAGAGAGGCCUAGGUUCCUCGUUGAAUGUGUGGAUUAGGGCUUCCUCAUCCAUUCCCACCCAAGACUCAUGCAUGACCGUAAGUGAGGGAAAACACUAAACUUUUAUUGGGUUAAACCACUGAGAUUCAGGGUUUUUGAAACAGCACUUUCGGCCUAUCCUGAGUAAUAUAGCUCAGUAAGUGACUGCUCAGAAUAACUAACAAAUGUUACUUAAUAACCAUGAUGAGCAGCCAGACCUUGGUGCUCAGGGUCAUAUUCGUUCCUCAUAUGUGGCUUCCCAUGGGAAAUUAAACAAGGCCUCUCUACAUUUCCCAGGACAUUUCUGAGUAAAGGGAUCAGAGCAAAGGGAGGUAGUUCUAACCCAAAGUGAUUGUAGCUAGGCAAGAAUGAUACAGAAAACUCCACUUAUCCCUCAACAGUCAACUUUUUCUAUUAACCAGAAUACUUCUGCUUCCUGAUCCAAAGUCAAGACAGGGCUGGUAAAUGCUGAUACACUGUUUCCCUUUAGGAUGGCCUGCCCGUCAUCCCCGGGCAUGCCCAUCAUCCCCGCCAUGCUUGCACAUCCUUUCCUUCCAACGAGAGUCAAUGCAGUUGAUGAAGUGUCAGCUCUGGCCAAAUUACCAAAAAUCAAUUUGUUUUUCUCUGAUAAGUUAGCUCAUGUUAAUGUGCCAAGCUGAUGCUGUGUGUAUGCAGUUUUAGGUAGACUAGUAUCAUCUGUGCUUCCUCGAGGCUAUUCCCUAAGUAUUUUGAUUAAAAUUUGAGCAUUUCCCCAAACUCUAACAACUGAUUGGUCAACAUUGAUAAAUGGCUCAUAUUUCAGGGAUAGAUUUUAGCAGUUUUAUCUUCAGAGACUAACCUCAUUUUGAAGUUCUUAAAGUCACCUCACUUUUGCUACACUAUUGUCUUACUGUUUUGAAUUCUAUUUAUGUUUUGCACCUUCCCAAGCAUUCACUGACGUCACUUCACAUUAUUGGACAUUCUGUUACAUCUCAGCAUUCCCAGGUGUCUGCCAGCUUCUAAGCUCAUGUGAGGUUGGUACUUUCAGAAGCUUGAACAUCUCCAUGUGGUAGCUGGCAUAAUUUAUUGGCCCAACAUAGUGGAAACAAUGAAUUCCUAGAGAUAUACCAUCUGGACUGCACCAUCAGAUGAGUUAGAGAGAGCUCUCUAAAAGGGGAAACAGAUAAACUUAUGCCCUUCCAUUACUAUAAUUCUGUAAACUCAACAAUUAUAUAUUGAACAUCUAGUAGGCUCCAAGAAGUAAAAGUCUAAUUAUGAGUUGGUCAUAGUUUUAUGCUGGGGGAGCAUGUUGCCAGUGGGGAGAAAUCAGCUAUAUUAUUAUUACAUGACUUUUUUUUUUUUUUUGAGACAGGGUCUCACUCUGUGGCCCAGGCUGGAGAGCAGUGGCAUGAUCAUGGCUCAGUGCAGCCUCGACCUCCAUGGCUCAAGCAGUUCUUCUGCCUUGGUCUCCCAAGUAGCUGGGACUACAGAUGCAUGCUACCACACCUGGCUAAUUUUUGCGUGUUUUGUAGAGAUGGGAUUUCACCAUGUUGCUCAGGCUGGUCUUGAACUCCUGGGCUCAAGCGAUCUGCCCUCCUUGGCCUCCCAAAGUGUUGGGAUUAAAGGCAUGAGCCACUGCAUGCAGCGUGACUAUUGCUUUAAUGAAUAACUUGUUUUUGUUUGUUUAAGGAAUGUUUAAAUAAUACAUAACUUUUGUUUUGUACCUUUUAACUGAGGCCUAAUUCACAAACAGUGAAGUAAACAGAUCUUAGGCAUAGGAUUCAAUAAACUCUUACAUCUAUGCACACUUAUGGGAUUAUCAUGCAGAUCAAGACAUAGAACAUUUCCAGUGCCCCAGAAGGCUUGUUCAUGACUCUUACUACCAACACACACCACCUGGAAGGACAUCUCUAGCACUAUGGUUUAGUUUUGUGAUUUUGAAUUUCAUAGACAUGGAUUCAUACAGCAUGAAGCUGAUUGUGUCUAGUUUCUUUUGUCUAAUACUCUCCGUGAGAUUCAUCCAUCCUGCUCUUGGUAUUUCUAGUUAGGGGAUAUGAUGACAGAGCUGCUGUGAAAUAAGCACACCUUUUGGAGGGGUGUAUACACAGGAUUGGAACUGACGAGUUAUAGAGACAUAUAUGUUUGCUUUAAUAGAUACUAAUAAACAGUGUUAAAAGGGUAUUAAUUUGUGGUUCCUCUAGCAGUGUCCGCAGAUUCUGGUUGUUCUUUAUCUUCACCCAAACUUAAUUUUGUUAGUUUUUAAAAUUUUAGUUAUCCUUAUGUAGGUGUGGUAGUAUUAGGUUGGUGCAAAAGUAAUUGCAGUUUUUGCCAUUACUUUGCAUUUUCUUGACGACUAAUACAUUUAUUUGUUAAUUUACAUUUGUGUAUUCUCUUAUGUGAAUUACCUUUUAAUGUUUUUACUUUUGAAAAAAAUUGGAUUAUUUGUUUUUCUUUUUAUUAAUUUGUAGUAAUUCUUUACAUAUUUACAUGUUCUGGCUAAGAGCAUUUUGUAGGAUAUAUUUAUUGCAUUAUCCUUACAAUUUCUAUAGAAAUUGCAAAAAUGGCUCUGCUUUUUUUCCCUUGAUAUUAUGUCUUCUAUCUUUUUUUUCUUCAUCAGUGUUGUUUGGGGUUUAACAAGUUGUUAAUAUUUUUAAAACAUGUGUUUUUUUGCCUUUGUUGAUUUUUUAAUUGCUUUUCUGUUUUCUAGCUCACUGAUACCUACUUUUAUUAUUAUUUCCUUUUUUCUACUUACUUUAGAUUUAAUUUUACUUCUUAGUGUCUUAAAAAUGAAAGUUUAGAACAUUAAUUUUAAAUCUUUUUUUCUAAUAUAUGCAUUGUUUUUGCUUUAUAUCGCAAGUUUUGACAUAUAGUAUUCUCAUUGCCAUUCAGUUUAAAUAAUUUUUAAUUUUUCUCAUGACUUUUCUUUAACCCUUAGAUGAUGACUGCAGAUUUGUUUACUUCUCCUUUUAUUUCUGUCAACUUUGCUUUAUAUAUACAUUUAAAUAUUGAAAUGCAUGUUAAGCAUGUAUUUUUAAUAAUAAUUUAUUCAUUUGUUCAAGCAUUUUUCAUUUGUAAAACAUGAAAUGAGAAGAAUGCAAAACAUAAAGCUAUGUCUAUGUCAUUUCAUCAUUUUAUAUGAGGUAACUUGUCCAAUGCCUGUCUGUUUCAAGGAACUCAUAGUCUGGUAAGGAAAAUACAUGCAUAAAUAGGAAGAAGUGUUUAUUUUGUUUGAAAAAAAAUGUUUUGGUGAUUAGAUCGGGUCACUCAUAUGUCAAAAAUAUCCCAUAGAUUUCCGCUGGAGUGAAGAAAAAAACCUUUUAUGUGUUCUGCCACUAUCUGUCUCUGUCUUCAUAUUUUACGGCUACUUUCUCACUUUUUUUUUUCCAGAACACACAAAAGCUUGUUGCUGCCUCAGAGUUUUUGCCCUUAUAGUUCUUUCAGUUUAUAACCCUUGUCUCAAGUUCAUGGCAUGGCUGAUUUUUCACCUCUCCAACUCUCAGUUCAAAUAUCACCUCUAAGGUCAGGCCAUGCCUGGCCACUCUACCUUAAUUAGUCACCAUCCACCUCACAGGUUACUUUCACAUCAUCACAGUUGGAAAGGACUGUGUUUAUUCAUUUGCUUUGUGUUCCUUCUACUAGGAUGUAACCUUCAUAACAAUAGACAUCUUGUUUUUCUUCAUCUCUGUGUCCUAAUUAGCUCACAGAUAGGGGAUACUCAAGAAAUAAUUAUUAAAUACAUGAGGGAUUUUGGUAUGAUUUGAGUCCCCACCCCUUUUCCUAUACUCUACUCUCAUCUCUUGCUGUUCCUUCCUUCCAAGGCCUGGAUGUUAGUUGGUACCAGAAUUUGGGGGGAAAUUGCUCUGUAUACAUUGUGUGAAGAAAUUGAGGAAUUAUAUUGCUUAUAAGAGGAGUGCAGAGAGGGGUAAGGGUAGGAGCAAACAAGAUGGUAGAAAGUGGAGUGCUAGACUACUUGACUCCUUUUGCUGCCCUCCCUUCCAAAUUACGAGGCGCAUGAAAAACUGACAUUGAUGUAUAAUAGAAAUUAAAGGUGUUAAAUUUUAUUCCCAAGUGGUGUAGUGAUAGACAAAAGCAAUAAUAGAGGAAGCUGGAGCUUGAGAGAUAGAACAGAGGAGGAGAUGUAAAACCCUUGGGAAUUAGCAGAAAUAUUGAGGGAGCAUUUCCUGAAGCCAUGAAAGGAGAAAGUUCAAGGCAAUGUUGCUUAGCUCUCAUGGGGUAGGCAGACAACUAAAGUCUUUGAUACAUACAGAAUUGUGCCACAUAGGCAAUAAUAGAGACAAUGUGGAGGGAAUGACUAAGACUGUCCACUGAACAAGGGAAAGGGGCUUCUUGUAAAGUCUUUGUAUACUGUACAUGAAAAUUAAGAUAUAUCUUGCACAAUCAUUCAAUGUUUUCCAGGUAGAUAAAGUGAUUGGGGUAAAGUGCAUUUCGGAAGAAUGGUGGCACGAAUUUGCCUUCAUUAAAAUAAAUUCAUUAAAUGAAACUUUAAUGGUGCCCACUAAAUCCCAGACUCUGUACCAAUUAGGUAAUUGAAUGGGUCUUAUAUUGGAAUGGGAUUAGAGUUGACAGCAUAGGCUUGAGUCAGAUCGACUUGAGUUCAAAUCCCAGCUCCACUACUUCUGAGUUGUGCAAACUUGGGCAAGUUAUUCAAUCUCCUUGUGCCUUGAUUUCCUUAUCAAUAAGUGAUUUGUUUUUAAAGAAGGAUUCACAAGCAAACAUAUCUGGUUUUUUUGUUUGUUUGUUUUUGAGACAGAGUCUCGCUCUGUUGUCCAGGCUGGAGUGCAGUGAUGCGAUCUUGACUCACUGCAACCUCCGCCUCCCAGGAGUUCAAGCGAUCCUCCUGCCUCAGUCUUCCGAGUAGCUGGGACUACAGGCAUGUGCCACCACACCCAGCUACUAUUUUUGUAUUUUUUUGUAGAGAUGGUUUCGCCAUGUUGGCCAGGCUGGUCUUGAACCCUUGACCUCAGGUGAUCCACCAGCCUCGGCCUCACAAAGUGCUGGGAUUACAGGUAUGAGCCACCACGCCCAGCCUGCAAACAUAUGUUGAACUCUUUGCACAGUGCCCUGCAUGAGAUAGAUGACAGCUCCUUCUUCCAUGUUGUUAAUUUGGUGUGAGUAUAUGUUAUAUGUAUGUAUAUGCAAGAUAAUAAUCUUCUUGUAACCACUGACAGGCCUUUUUGUGAAUGAUGAUGGAAAAAGCAAGAACCUUGUCCAGGUUCCUCUCCAGGGAGCAGGGGUGGGUUGUGAUUCUUGAUUUCAUUCCUUUAGAUAUGAAGAGUUUUCACACAGAGGCAGCACGAAUUUGUCUCUCUCCUAGAGGGUGGGGAGAGUUGCUGGGUGGAUAUAACUGCAUCACAGCCUUUCUGGGUAAACUGGCCACUCCCUACUGAUUUGUUAUCAUGCUAAAUGUGUCUCCUCCCUUCCUUUCUGGAGCUUUUGCAGCUGUUCCUGGAAGGAGACCCAGUUGAAAGGGGUUGUUAUGGACCAGGAACAGCUGGGAUCUUUAAUGAUCUGUGAGCAGCUUACAGCAAAGUUCCAACACCCUGAGUAUCAGUCCCCAAAUCCUUGGUCUUUGCAUUCCAACACAAAGUAAAAAGGAUUGAGCAGGGUUUUGGUUUUGGUUGCAAGUAACAGAAACCCAACGCUAAUUAAUAAACGGGAAAGUGUGUCAGUGGAAAUCUCCACAAGUCCGACGGAAAGAGAAAACUGCUUUCCCAAAGGGUGUAAGAGGAUGAAAGGCAUGUCAUCAGCUGAAUUGCAUCAGGUGUCCAUCUUGGAAUCAAUCACGGUGCCUCUUAUUAGCAAAGCCUGAGUCAUAGGCAUGUGUCAUUUCACAUCUGCAUAAAAAGACAUGCUGAAGGAUGUUCCUUGCAGAAUGGUUAUAGAGAAAAAUGGGAAUAACCACGAUAUAAAGUAACAGGAUUUCAACAGUGAAGGAGACCUGAGAAACCAUAAAAUCAAUCUCUCAAAUUGAAGUUGAAAAAAGCAAAUCAUCUCUCACACCCACCCUGAUUGAUCCAGAGCCAAUGGGUUCAUUUAAAACUCUCUUUCAUGAUGGCAAUGAAUAAAAGAGGAUCCUAGACCAUCAGAAGAUUUUAGCCUUGGAGCUCCCCACCGUCCUAACACACACAGAUAGAGCUGGCUCCGAACUCUGCUGCUUCCAUGGUCGUGGCUACCUACUACUCUGUUCCUACUUCAUCUUCACUGUGAUUUUUGUCCAUAUGUCAGACUGAAGCAGACUGCUUAGGGCCUUGGGUUGAGGUAGGGGACAUCUUUCUCCAGGUUAGGCAUUUCAACUGAAGAGGAAAAAAAGUAGGAAUAGGAAAUGAUGACUACUAGAGGUCAAUUGAUCCAUUAAAAACAAAAAUGAUUAUUUUUGACUCCUGAGUUCUGAAAAUGUAUUUGAGGGUUCUUCAACACAAGGAGCAAAAGAACAAAGAGAAAGGGGAAAUCUUUGUUGUUUUAUUGAUCUGCCUUAAUAGUAUUCUUUCAUCUUAGAAAUAAGACGAGCUUGCAUAGAAGCCGCUGUCUGUGGUUCGGUUUCUGAACUAGAAAACAAAUCUUUUUAAAAAUCAAAAUCUGAGCAUUUCAGAUUAAAACAUGAUAGGGGCCAAUACUACUUUUUUGGUGAAAGCCUUGAAUGGGGUGAUCCAGUGAAAGGACCCAAUGACAAAUUUAAAACAAGGGGAAUAACAGUUCCUGUGCCCUGGCACAGGAUGGGUAGUAAGCACAUCAAUAAUGAUUAUAUGAAUUCCAAGUAGGAUUAGUUUCAUAAGAGAUUGGCACAUAUUUACUUUGGGUUCAUGAUGGAAGGUGAAAAUCAUAAUAAAUAUUUGGGGAAUCAAGAAGACUUCAUGGAAGAGAAGGCUUUUUAGAAGCAUGUAAAGAAUGUUGAAGAAGGAAAUAGACCUAGGCAGUCCAAAUAUAGAGGUAGUAUGGGUAAGUAUAUCUUUGGAGAAAGUUGUCUAUUUGGCUGUAGGAUACACAAGAAUGAGAGAAAGACAAGAUAAUAAGAGCCUUAUUGUGGGAGGUCUACAGCAUUUGUACUUGAAUUGGCAGUCAACAGUGGAGCCAUUAAAGGUUUUUAGAAAUGAAUGUAAUAGAUUAGAAAUUUAAGAAAAUUAGAGUACAGACCCAAGAAAGACUGGAAUGGAAGUAACAUGAGCAAUCAGGAGAAUUCUGUAGUAGAAUUAAGUGAAAAAUUGUGAGACUCUAAGUUAAUAAAGGGAAAACCCAGAUGUCACUAGCUGCAUUUUCAGGGAGCUAACAAAUCUAGUGAUUGCAUAAGCCAUAGGUCCCUUAGAAAAUUUAAUGAAAAAUCUCUGGAAAUCCCCCAGAAAAAUACCACAUUUACACAUACU
Molecule: long non-coding RNA, 20454 nt
Organism: Homo sapiens (human)
Lineage: Eukaryota; Metazoa; Chordata; Mammalia; Primates; Hominidae
Exons: 7
Source: RefSeq, a predicted model, not a curated record